Molecule: long non-coding RNA, 526 nt
Organism: Penaeus chinensis
Lineage: Eukaryota; Metazoa; Arthropoda; Malacostraca; Decapoda; Penaeidae
Exons: 3
Source: RefSeq, a predicted model, not a curated record
CAGAGCCAGUAUGUAUAUAAAGGUCGUUCGGCAGACGCUCUCCAUCAGUGUCCUUCUGCACAUCACACAGUGAGCACAUCCGUUCCGCUACAACACUUGCAUAAUCUUCAAAGUUUCGUCUCUAAAUCAACCAAGAUGCGUUUCUUCCUGAUUUUGUUGGCCCUCUGCUGCUUCCUGAGCGCCAGCCUCGCCCUCCCCCUGGCCAAAGGAAGAGCCACCUCCAGAGUUGCUGACGACAGAUAUUUCGUUUCCCGACAGGGCAUCAGGGGAUUCCGCCGCACAGAAUCUGGACGUCUCUACGUGCCCAAGAAAUUCCUCAGAUAAGGAGGAAAAAUAUAUGUGAGAAGAAGACUAUUAUCACAUAUAUGAAGAUCUCCUGUUAUUUAUUAUAUUUGCUGGGAGGUGUGAGAUGAUCCCAGGAUGUCCAUACUAUCUUAGUCUUGUUUAUAUCCAUACACCUAUAUAUAUUUUUUGUAACAUUUUAUAGCUCUAUUUUUAUAUCCAAUUAAAGACAUGAAACGUUUAA